GGACCUUAAGAUCCGACAACGGCGACGGCGACGUGGGACUUUUUUUACUUCCGGUUACGUACUGCGCAUGAGUAGAUUUCUGAGACGGCGUUGUCCCUUCACGCGCGGACGUCUAGAAGCCUUGUUUGACGUUGUGCGAAAACGUGGAAAUUAAAACCCAACUAUGGCAAAUGAAUCAAGUCAAUCAAUGAAAUGGAAU
Long non-coding RNA from Pocillopora damicornis (cauliflower coral), 199 nucleotides. The record is from RefSeq and is a predicted model, not a curated record. Lineage: Eukaryota; Metazoa; Cnidaria; Anthozoa; Scleractinia; Pocilloporidae.